GACGAACGCUGGCGGCGUGCUUAACACAUGCAAGUCGAACGGAAAGGCCCUGCUUGCAGGGUCCUCGAGUGGCGAACGGGUGAGUAACACGUGGGUGAUCUGCCCUGCACUUCGGGAUAAGCUUGGGAAACUGGGUUUAAUACCGGAUAGGAACCAUCUUUAGUGUGGUGGUUGGAAAGUUUUUUCGGUGUAGGAUGAGCUCGCGGCCUAUCAGCUUGUUGGUGGGGUAAUGGCCUACCAAGGCGGCGACGGGUAGCCGGCCUGAGAGGGUGUACGGCCACAUUGGGACUGAGAUACGGCCCAGACUCCUACGGGAGGCAGCAGUGGGGAAUAUUGCACAAUGGGCGCAAGCCUGAGGCAGCGACGCCGCGUGGGGGAUGAAGGCCUUCGGGUUGUAAACUCCUUUCGCUAGGGACGAAGCUUUGUUGUGACGGUACCUAGAUAAGAAGCACCGGCUAACUACGUG
RNAcentral lists this ribosomal RNA (466 nucleotides) under uncultured bacterium. RNAcentral's name for it is "partial 16S ribosomal RNA". It matches the Rfam family "Bacterial small subunit ribosomal RNA", at positions 28 to 507 of the family's 1533-position model. The record is from RNAcentral.